Dromiciops gliroides (monito del monte) is the source of this 1643-nucleotide long non-coding RNA. RefSeq lists it as uncharacterized. The transcript is spliced from 2 exons. Lineage: Eukaryota; Metazoa; Chordata; Mammalia; Microbiotheria; Microbiotheriidae. The record is from RefSeq and is a predicted model, not a curated record.
UACAUUGGCAGCUAAAUUGCCUGAUGAGAAGAAUUUGCUGACUUUUUGUGGGUGCUUUUGCUGCUACAUAUGCGGUCCCUGGUGUACCUGCCCUAGUUAAUCUAUGUGAUUAGGGGGGUUUAGCAUUAAAACCCCUGCUCUCUGGGGUGUGACAUAAUUAGGGAAUCUGGACUUUAGUUCCCUGGAGUGUAGUAUCUGAAGAUGGCUGAUUAAAUUCACUGAAUCAGUAGGUACCACCCUGGCUGUCCAAAACACUCUUCAUAAAGGUACAUCAGAGGAGAGGGGAUUAGUUGUGUUCUGGCUGGCCCCAGAGGGCAGAGCUAGGAGCCAAGGGUAGAAGUUGCAAAGGGGGAAGAGCAGGCUGGAUGUCGGGGAAAACAAAAACAGAGACUUCCUAACAAUCAGAGCUAACAGAAAUUGAAAUGGACUUCCACAACAGGUCUUCAAGCUGAGUGUCUAUUUAUCAGGUAAUAUUGGAAUGAGGCUUCUUGUUGUGUAUCAAUUGGACUAGACAUUCACUGAGGUCCCUUGUGGCAUUGAGACUCUGUAAUUCUAUGAAAUGUGAAGUGGAAAGAACACUGGGAUUGGAGUCAGAAGGCCAGGGUUUAUAUAAUUCAGUUCUGUCACCCCCUGGGCCAUCCUCAACAAAUGACUUCAUCUCUCUGGGGUUCAGUUUCUGUAAAAGGAGUGGAUUGAGCUCCGUCACUGGUGUUCAAAGUAAAUACACGGGCCACUAAACUACAUAAGGAUCCCUCUGGGUGCAUUUUGACUUAGAAAGUCUCAUAUUAACCUUAUCAAUGUUUUAUUGUAUUUUCUAUUUCUUUUGUUAAAUAUUUCCCUGUUACAUUUUAAGCUGGUUUGGUGCUGUAUUUGACUCAGUGAACCAGUUGACCUUUCAGGACUUCUCUAGCUCUUUGUCUUUGAUUCCAUGAAAAACUGACAUUAACCAUCCAUUCUGCAUCCACUCUGGGCCUGGAAUUGUCAAGGAAGUCAAGAAAGUUGUCUGUGGAAAUAAGUUCACCAACCUAGGAGUUAUGAAUAUUGCAUUCAGCCCCAAAUGCCACCUCUUGGGAAAACCAGCAUGAACCAGAGGGCAGCCAGAAGGAUGAAAGGUUUUAAAACCAUGUCAUAUGUGAAAAUAGGCAGAAGAAUCUGGGAGUACUUAGCCUAGAGAAGAAGAAAAACCGGAUUUGGAAUCAGAAUCCCUAGGCUGGAAUCCUGACACUGCGACUUACUACAUGUAUGCAAGUCACAACUUUGCAAACCUCGGUUUCCUGGUCGGUAAAUGAAGGGGUUGCAGUAAUUAUCUUCUAACGUCCCUUCUAGCACUACAUCUGCGCUCCGAUGUCAUGACAUGCCUUCAGAUGUUUGAAGGGCUGCCAUCUGGAAGAGGGAUUAGGCUUGUUCCUCUUGGUCCCAGGGGGCAGAACUAGGAACAGUGGGUGGAAAGUGCAGAGAGUCAGAUUUAGGCUCAAUGGAAGGGAAAACUCAGUAGAGAUCCAUGAGCAGAGAAAAGUUCAGUCCUAUGGUCUCUAUGUGUGCUAGACAGCUCUUCACAAAAAUUGUGUCCUUCCUUCCAACUUGCCUCCUUCCUAGAGCUACACUGUUGGGGAAUAAUUGUAAUAAAACUGACAUUUAUGGGG